CAAAACGCUGGCAGCGUGCCUAACACAUGCAAGUCGAACGAGAAAGUCGGUUUCGGCCGAUGAGUAAAGUGGCGCACGGGUGAGUAACGCGUGGAUAAUCUACCCUUUAGUCCGGAAUAACUUGCCGAAAGGUGAACUAAUACCGGAUGACAUCCCGGGUUCUCCGGAAACCGGGAUCAAAGAAGGCCUCUGCUUGCAAGCUUUUGCUGAAGGAUGAGUCCGCGUACCAUUAGCUAGUUGGUGGGGUAAUGGCCUACCAAGGUUAUGAUGGUUAGCUGGUCUGAGAGGAUGAUCAGCCACACUGGAACUGAAACACGGUCCAGACUCCUACGGGAGGCAGCAGUGAGGAAUAUUGCGCAAUGGGGGCAACCCUGACGCAGCAACGCCGCGUGAGUGAGGAAGGUUUUCGGAUUGUAAAGCUCUGUCGAGCGGAAAGAAAUGCACGAUGGCUAAUAUCCAUCAUGCUUGACGGUACCGCUAGAGGAAGCACCGGCUAACUCCGUG
RNAcentral lists this ribosomal RNA (504 nucleotides) under uncultured bacterium. RNAcentral's name for it is "bacterial SSU rRNA". It matches the Rfam family "Bacterial small subunit ribosomal RNA", at positions 32 to 507 of the family's 1533-position model. The record is from RNAcentral.